Molecule: ribosomal RNA, 3004 nt
Filed under: Triticum aestivum (bread wheat)
Lineage: Eukaryota; Viridiplantae; Streptophyta; Magnoliopsida; Poales; Poaceae
Description: partial small subunit ribosomal RNA
Source: RNAcentral
AAGAGACAGGUCAAGCAGCACAAGCCAGAAGCCGGUGGAGAAACGUCCCAGCAUAAGACUUAUUAUCACGUUCCAUGAAACUCAUUUACCAGGUGUUUAGUCACGUAGACCUCACGAUCCUACACACCCCUGUUUUUCUACGGUAACGUAUCCGGGCAACCGUCUCUUUAGUUUCGAAAUGGUCCGCAACAGUCGUUACUAACUACUCUAUUAACCAAAUCGACGAAAGCCUUCUCCGCUGCCCUUAGUAUUUUUGGUACUACCCAUACCUCUAGUUGUACUUCUCUCUACCUUCUCAGAUAUUAAGCAAAAGGACGGUUGUUCGUAGUGUUCAUUAUAGCUCUCGCUCGUCAACGUCUACUCUCCCCUCUGCUCGCACCCACCUCCAGUCCGAAACCGUUCCCUCUGCACCCAGGCGCCACCUCACACUUUCUACUGCAGCUAACCGGCAACGGCGCGGUGUCCGAGGACAAACCGUCGCCGAUAUACGUGCCAGCAGCUUCUUAUAGCGAUACUACAUAUAAAGACACCCAAAGAGGUAAACUUACGAAGAGGAGUUGCUGGCACAGUUAGACCGAACGCAAACGUUGACACUAAAACCAACUCUACACGUUCUAGUAGGGAGAGAUCUAAGAUUAAAACAGACAUCCAAAUACAUGUAAACUAAACAGCCACCGAUUCCAUCACCACUACCGUGUCCGAUUGACUAAGUCGGAAAACGAAGCUUAUAAACAUGAAGAGGUAAAGAAUUAACAACUCUGUUUUUAUUAUUGGAAUCCAUUUUGACGACAGAUUUGUAUCACGCAUAAAGAAAAUGCUUUCUUUUACAACACGUUGUACGAGUAGGUACUCUUGGUAGAUAAGUCGAAAAUAGAUUAAUGUGUAACUUGUUAAACUAAUACUUAGAUAAGACCACGUCGGAUAGAUGCGAACGUAACGAUUAUAACAAUAUUCAUUAGAUACCGUAAGGACUAUUUACUUACAACUUACCCCUACAGUACAGUAUCCAAUUGGGAUAACGAAACAAAAAAGAGAACUUGAAGGUAUACGCACGGGUGAAAUCUGUGGUGUUUAAUUAAACCUCAAACUAAGAUAUGAAAAAUAAACGAAAUAACAAAACGACUAGAUCUCUUUCGGCUCCUGUUAAUCUCUCAAGGUAAGGUAAAUACGUCUACUUCUACUAUUACUCUUUAAGGUUGUAAUACGGAAAGGGUAACUUCUUCGUUUAAGAUCGUCUCUUCGGUUAAAACAUCUAACUUCUUGAAAUCCAACUGUUCGGACUUUUUCGGACACAUUUGACACAAGAAAUUCGGCGGCAGCUAGACAGGUACCUGUGACUGGACCCGACAGCGCCGAAGUGGGUGUGGGUCACGGAGGGGUUAUACAUGCUGGUUGGUUGUGUUUCUCCGUGUUACAGGAACUGGAACCCCAACCGCGACGUGCGGCUGCGUCGGCGGCUGCUAAACAGGAACCUUUGUCUGUACCUGCUCAAAUUGUUGGGUCCGGUCUCUUUUUACAACGGAAGAGAAUGUAGCUAGACACCAAGGUAGGGUACCUACAUGAUCGAUGUCACCCUCCCCGCCUUCGCGGACGGUGACGCUCCUGACGCUUCUCCACUCCACGAUGACGAUGACCUUGGUGCUGGUACCGCCGUGGUUCUUCAAGGAGGAUAAGCGUAGGGUGCUGUUUCUAAUAGACCAGUGUUGCGGAGAAGGGGGUAGACAGAAAAACAUACACGACGAGGGCAGCUAGCUAAGUCUGAAGUCUCAAAGGAGACAUGUAAAGGAGGAAGACUCUGUAGUUUCCUCCCAAGUUAAACUCCAAAAGAAAUCCCCGACUAAAAAAAAACGAAUUAAAGUAGAAACGGAGUUUUACAAUGAGACUUACUAUGUACGAUUUUAGACAGACCCUUACCUAUCUUGUAUUGUAAAACGGAAAACCCUUUAGACAAAGUGUUGUAUACAUACAAUACGUGGUUCUCCACCGUUCUUCUUAUGAGACGUGACAUGACAUGAUACACACACGGACGGUUUGACAAAUGACUUAUGAAAAACGUUCACUUUUUUACGAAGUUUACGACGAUUACGACUCUUGGUGGCAACGACCAGAAUCUUUCCCUCCCCAAAAGUACUAAUAAAACCCACAAUUUAAAAGUGACUUUUUUAUACAAAUCAUGGUAAGAAUCGAUCCAAAACACGUACCUUAUUUGAACAAAGUCCUAUAAAAUGGACCUUCUUGACUGACUGUUGUUUACUUCUCCAUCGUCAUUUUGUUUGUGAGACGUGUACGCACAGUUUGAUUAGUAACUAUGAGGUUGACUUCGAUUGAGAACACUUCUAUCUCUUAAUGAUGUGACGACAGACGCACGUACACUUCUAGAAAACCUCUAUUAAUGAAUACAUGGUUAUGGUACUCAGGCGAUAAAUAAUUACAAGUGGUUUUUACUACUAUUUAAACCAUUAAUUAACCACAGAUAAUUCACAUUUGAAAUAGCUAAAAAACACACUCAAGGCACGGUUACUCAGGAAAACAAAAGAAACAAAAGGUCUCGUGAGUUAUUUAUUUUGUCUCGUGUCUCGUCAUCGGAAACCUGGUUCAAUAUCAAACACGAACCAUAAUUUACUAAACCUCGUCCGAUGUAGACACUACUGUGUCUAACCAAUACGUCCUAGAGAACCGAUUUGGAAGACGAAAUAGUACUCCUGUUGUUAUCACCAAUCAAGAGUAGACUCGAACUCAACACCACUUACGCUGGCUACAAAGCUGGCGUAUGCUUCUACAUCAAGAAAACUAAAUAGCUGAUUAUAAUAGCAUAUAUCUGCACUAGGAUAUGUCUCCGCUUCACACCAUCGUCUGAUGGGAUAGGAAUAACAUUUAAUACACACUAGUGGCGAUACUCCGUCAGGAAGCCUACCUAAAUUGUGAGGUACCAACAACAUUUAAUACUUAUUUAAUACGACAUCAAAAUCAUAACAAGAGAUUAGGAGACGUACACAAUAGGACA